Molecule: ribosomal RNA, 460 nt
Filed under: uncultured bacterium
Lineage: Bacteria
Description: partial 16S ribosomal RNA
Rfam family: Bacterial small subunit ribosomal RNA
Source: RNAcentral
CCUACGGGUGGCAGCAGUGAGGAAUAUUGGUCAAUGGGCGGAAGCCUGAACCAGCCAAGUCGCGUGAGGGAUUAAGGCCCUAUGGGUCGUAAACCUCUUUUGUCAGGGAGCAAGGUCGUCCACGUGUGGGCGUAUGGAGAGUACCUGAAGAAAAAGCAUCGGCUAACUCCUUGCCAGCAGCCGCGGUAAUACGGGGGAUGCGAGCGUUAUCCGGAUUUAUUGGGUUUAAAGGGUGCGUAGGCGGUACCUUAAGUCAGCGGUAAACUUGCGGUGCUCAACGCCGUAGAGCCGUUGAAACUGGGGCUCUUGAGUGAGCGAGAAGUAUGCGGAAUGCGUGGUGUAGCGGUGAAAUGCAUAGAUAUCAGGAGGAAUACCGUUAGCGAAGGCGGCAAUCUGGCUGGAAACUGACGCUGAGGUGCGAAAGCGUGGGUAGCAAACAGGAUUAGAUACCCGAGUAGUC